AUGUCUAAGUCUGGAAGCAACAUCUUUCUUGAUAUCAUCCAUGUUAAAGACUCAGUAUCUUGGCUAAUGCAAGCCUAUGUACUUUGUCGUGAGGUUCCUGGACUUUUGCAAAAGAUAAGAAGGCGGAUACAUAGAGGGGCACUUCUUUUGUUGAUGGCAUAUGCAUCAGUUUCAGAGAAACGAUGGAAAAUUGAUGUUCAUCUAAAAGAAUUGUUGAGAACCCUUGAAGAUUCGUGGUUAGGAUGA
Non-coding RNA from Vicia faba (fava bean), 246 nucleotides. The record is from the annotation of a GenBank genome assembly. Lineage: Eukaryota; Viridiplantae; Streptophyta; Magnoliopsida; Fabales; Fabaceae.